GUAACAAGGUUUCCGUAGGUGAACCUGCGGAAGGAUCAUUACCGAGUGCGGGUCCUUUGGGCCCAACCUCCCAUCCGUGUCUAUUGUACCCUGUUGCUUCGGCGGGCCCGCCGCUUGUCGGCCGCCGGGGGGGCGCCUCUGCCCCCCGGGCCCGUGCCCGCCGGAGACCCCAACACGAACCCUGUCUGAAAGCGUGCAGUCUGAGUCGAUUGUUUGCAAUCAGUUAAAACUUUCAACAAUGGAUCUCUUGGUUCCGGCAUCGAUGAAGAACGCAGCGAAAUGCGAUAACUAAUGUGAAUUGCAGAAUUCAGUGAAUCAUCGAGUCUUUGAACGCACAUUGCGCCCCCUGGUAUUCCGGGGGGCAUGCCUGUCCGAGCGUCAUUGCUGCCCUCAAGCCCGGCUUGUGUGUUGGGUCGCCGUCCCCUCUCUCCGGGGGGACGGGCCCGAAAGGCAGCGGCGGCACCGCGUCCGAUCCUCGAGCGUAUGGGGCUUUGUCACAUGCUCUGUAGGAUUGGCCGGCGCCUGCCGACGUUUUCCAACCAUUCUUUCCAGGUUGACCUCGGAUCAGGUAGGGAUACCCGCUGAACUUAAGCAUAUCA
This 599-nucleotide ribosomal RNA is filed under the name Aspergillus brasiliensis. RNAcentral's name for it is "eukaryotic LSU rRNA". The stretch from base 228 to 381 matches the Rfam family "5.8S ribosomal RNA". Lineage: Eukaryota; Fungi; Ascomycota; Eurotiomycetes; Eurotiales; Aspergillaceae. The record is from RNAcentral.